GUCGUGAGAUGUUGGGUUAAGUCCCGCAACGAGCGCAACCCCUAUUGUUAGUUGCCAUCAUUAAGUUGGGCACUCUAACGAGACUGCCGGUGAUAAACCGGAGGAAGGUGGGGAUGACGUCAAAUCAUCAUGCCCCUUAUGACCUGGGCUACACACGUGCUACAAUGGAUGGUACAACGAGUCGCGAGACAGUGAUGUUUAGCUAAUCUCUUAAAACCAUUCUCAGUUCGGAUUGUAGGCUGCAACUCGCCUACAUGAAGUCGGAAUCGCUAGUAAUCGCGGAUCAGCACGCCGCGGUGAAUACGUUCCCGGGCCUUGUACACACCGCCCGUCACACCACGGGAGUUGGGAGUACCCGAAGUAGGUUGCCUAACCGCAAGGAGGGCGCUUCCUAAGGUAAG
Molecule: ribosomal RNA, 401 nt
Filed under: Lactococcus lactis subsp. lactis
Lineage: Bacteria; Bacillati; Bacillota; Bacilli; Lactobacillales; Streptococcaceae
Description: bacterial SSU rRNA
Rfam family: Bacterial small subunit ribosomal RNA
Source: RNAcentral